Molecule: ribosomal RNA, 253 nt
Filed under: uncultured bacterium
Lineage: Bacteria
Description: partial 16S ribosomal RNA
Rfam family: Bacterial small subunit ribosomal RNA
Source: RNAcentral
UACGGAGGGUGCAAACGUUGCUCGGAAUUACUGGGCGUAAAGCGUGCGCAGGCGGUUUUGUAAGUCUGUUGUGAAAGCCCCGGGCUCAACCUGGGAAUUGCGAUGGAGACUGCAAGGCUUGAAUCUGGCAGAGGGGGAUGGAAUUCCGCGUGUAGCAGUGAAAUGCGUAGAUAUGCGGAGGAACACCGAUGGCGAAGGCAAUCCCCUGGACCUGUACUGACGCUCAUGCACGAAAGCGUGGGGAGCAAACAGG